CUCCCAUUCACCCCCCAGUAACCCCCCAUUAACCCCCUAUCUCCCCAUUAGGCCGCCGGUAGGCAUGGAGAAAGAUCGAGGCGAGGACCUUGGCGGCGGUGGCGUCAGCAUCAGCAGCACCGGCGGCGUCACCGGCACCGGUGUCGGCGGCCGCGAGGCCAAACCGCGCUCGCUGCGCUUCACGUGGAGCAUGAAGACGACGAGCGCCCUGGAACCGGGCGAGAUGAUGCGGGAGAUCCGCAAGGUGCUGGACGCCAACAGCUGCCGCUGCGAGCUGCAGGAACGCUUCGUCCUCCUGUGCGCCCACGGCUCCCCCGGCCACGAAUCCUUCGUGCAGUGGGAGAUGGAGGUGUGCAAGCUGCCGCGCCUCUCGCUCAACGGCGUCCGCUUCAAGCGCAUCGCCGGCACCUCCAUGGCCUUCAAGAACAUUGCCUCCAAGGUGGCCAACGAGCUCAAGCUCUGAGCGCGAACCCCCCCCCGUGUCCCCCCCCUCCAUGUUCACCUCCAGGGGGGGCUUCUCCUCAAAACGGGGGGUGUGGACCCAGCAACUAUUGGACUCCCCCCACCCCAGUCCCUCCGGUCCCCGUUGUGCUCCCUGCGGGGUUGGUACUGGGAUGGGACCUGGUGUAGGUGCCCCCCCUGCCCCCCCAGGACCCUGUGGGGUCGGUGUUGGGAUGGGACCUGUUUAGGGGUGCCCCCCCCGCACCCCCUCGCUCCUCAGGACCUGUGGGGGCAGCCCUAAAGGAGCUGGGGGGGCCCCUAAAGGAGUUGGGGACGGCCCUAAAGGACCCUGUGGGGUCGGUGUUGGGAUGGGACCUGGUGUAUGGGUGCCCCCCCUGCCCCCCCAGGACCCUGUGGGGUCAGUGUUGGGAUGGGACCUGUUGUAGGUGCCCCCCCUCUGCACCCCCUCGCUCCUCAGGACCUGUGGGGUCGCGGGACAGGAUGUGGAGACGGCCCUAAAGGAGUUGGGGGGGGCACCCCAAAUUUGUGGGGUCGACUCCAGAGCUGUGGGGACAAAGUGGGGCCUGCAGGGAGUUGGGAACGGCCCCAACACCCCAAAAUCUCUGGGGCCGGGGGGCUGGCCCCAAAAGCUGCAGGGUUAAGCCAGGACCCCCCAGGGACCUGGGGACGGCCCCAAAACCUCUGUCCCCAAGCCCUUUGGGGUCAGGCUGGGACCUGUGGGGUCAUCCCAGAGCCUUAUGGGGACGCCCGGGGUGUCCCCAGGGGAUGUCCCGGGGGUCCCCAGGUCCCCAAGGGACACGGGGUGGCCUUGGGGUCCCUAUGGGGAC
RNAcentral lists this long non-coding RNA (1289 nucleotides) under Anas platyrhynchos platyrhynchos (common mallard). Its description in RNAcentral is "lncRNA (ENSAPLG00000026641.1)". Lineage: Eukaryota; Metazoa; Chordata; Aves; Anseriformes; Anatidae. The record is from RNAcentral.